GUUGUGUUGUGAAGAAGAAGUUGGAGUCAGUGCUGUGAGGAGCUGUCUGUGAGAAAUCACCAAGAAGAAUAUCCAGGAAAGAAGAAGAAAUGCCUGACAAGAAUAUGCGUCUGUAAAAAAUCAGCAGUGUCUAGACAGACGGCUUUCUCAGCAUGCACACUGCAAGUUCAGUCAUCCUUGCCUCACUUGGUUCAUACCUUCCAGUCAGGAGCUCAGUCAACCAACUCUUUUUGCUGUACCUGGAGUGAAAGGCAGCCUGGAACAUGUCAUUUGCAACAGAGGAAAAAGAAAGCAGCCAGCAGAAAUAGAAUCUCUGGGAGCAACUUGGUACUGUACACAUGUGUGAGUGACAUAGCAUGUCCCCAGGCUCAGCCAUCAGAAAACUAUGUGUACAGUCUCAUCCAUCAAUUCCUAUCUGCAAAAUGUCCUUUAAGGCAUGAAUUUCUCAUGUUAUGCUUCCAUUAACUUAAAGACUGCUGCCUGGCUUUGGAUGAAGAGAGACACCUGACACUCUUGCUCUUUCUUCUGAGGAUUUUUCAAUCUGUAAUCAUGGCAUUGGAUGUCACACAAAUUUCAGGAAUUCUACUCUUACUGGCAAAGACUGUCUGUUCUGUGCUUCAGAAAUUGUCCCUCUGUGUCUGACAUCCUAUGUGAUGUGAACUCAGCCCUCACAAGAAAUGUAAGAGAAGUGAAACCAACAGCCAUGCAACGAUCUCACACCACUGGAAGCAUAUGAAUCACAGCAAGUAGUGGCACCUACCACCUCAAUUACUAAAAAAUAUAUGUAGCUUUUCUUUGGGUGACUUUAGUUUCCAGUACUUUGAUGUGAUUUAUGUUUUGAAAUGCAGCUCACAAUUUUCAUGUCAUUGCUAUAUCUGCCAACUAGAGAAGAGAUGAAAAAAUGGAAGAAGAAAUGUAGAUUAAUCCUACUUGGACAGCUCUGAAGCAUAGCUUUUAUCUGAAUGUUUUUUAAAGAUUUUGUAUCUUAUCCCAAUUUGGGAAAAAAUUAAUAUUGUGAAGGCACAAAAAGCUCAUCUCUCAUGCACACAGAGGAAGGCAGAGGGCAGUAGGGGAGGCCCAGUGCCCCAGUCAGAGACAUGAGCCCCUGCCCUGCCUCUCCUCCUCUCAGGGAUAUCUUGGGGAGCACCAUCACCAUAGGUCUUGCAGGGCGAGGUCAUUGUUAGAUGCAGGAGAAGAGAAACCUAGGGUUGUGCAAGACUUAUUAUGGAAGAAAUCAAAGGUGGGGAAAGGGAGGCAUUAAAAUCAAAUGGGGCUGAGGAAGAGUGAGACAACAAAAGGAAAAGGAUAUAAAAGGUGUCAGUUGCCUGUAAACAGCUUGCAGAUCAGCAUGUUGGUCAGGCCAUGUCCUGUGCCUGAGCAGAAUAGUCUGUCCUGUCUUUUCAUUAAAUUUCACUAAUUCAAUAAUUAAAUUGCAUUUCUAGAUCCCUUCUGUAGGCAUGUGUGUUUGAGGUCUGAGUGCAGCAAACUGGAGUCUGCAUGUGCUAGGCAGUGAAUAUCAAGCAGGAAUAGCCAGUGAGUAGAGUAAGAGUUUGAGAUGGAUCCUGGAGAGAUCAGAGGGUUCUAUGAGCUGGUUACUGGAGAUUCAGGAGACUUCAGGCAGCUUCCAGAGAGUUUGUGCAGUCUGGGGAUUGAUUGUGAGCCCAUUUGUGCAGGUGUGCAUGAAGCUAGGCCAUUCCUGCUGGAGAAGUGCCAGUUUUUGAGCCCAGCUGCCUGUGGCAUCCAUGUGUGUUUCCAUGCCUGUGCUGAUGUGUGCCGAGGUCUCUCCCAGCAGCCAAAGUGGGACUGCAGCAUUGAGGGCUUCUGUGUGCAAGUGCCCCCCUGGGAAAACUGGGAUCCAGGGACUGAUGCUGGGCAGUGUCUGAGUCUAGUGCUGCAGGGAUCCACAUUGUACAUGUUUAUUGAUAUUUUCCCAAUAAUGAGCCUCCAUCUUCUCAGCCAGAAAAAAAGGGAUCAAUCCUUUGGCCCUGUGUGUGAUAUGAGAGAGCUGCAUUUUCUUUCAGUGUUGGUCUGAGCUGCCAGCUGUGUGCAUGUGUGUAUUAGCACAGUGUGCACUUGUUCCUACUGGGAACAUGCUCAGCCUUGCUACUGGGUGGACCUGGGGACGAGCCGCAGAAGCUUCACUUCUAUCAGGCUAUUGGAUUUGGCAGCAGCUAAUGUUAAAUAAGUCUGACAUAUGUGGUGGAAAAGGAUGAAUGUGUCAGUAGGAAAAUUUCAGACUUUUCUUUUUCCUGUACCUGUACAUUAGGCACAAGCAAUAAA
This is a long non-coding RNA of Zonotrichia leucophrys gambelii, 2280 nucleotides long. RefSeq lists it as uncharacterized. The record is from RefSeq and is a predicted model, not a curated record. Lineage: Eukaryota; Metazoa; Chordata; Aves; Passeriformes; Passerellidae. The transcript is spliced from 5 exons.